Molecule: ribosomal RNA, 465 nt
Filed under: uncultured bacterium
Lineage: Bacteria
Description: partial 16S ribosomal RNA
Rfam family: Bacterial small subunit ribosomal RNA
Source: RNAcentral
GACGAACGCUGGCGGCGUGCUUUACACAUGCAAGUCGUACGGUAAGGCCCUUUCGGGGGUACACGAGUGGCGAACGGGUGAGUAACACGUGAGUAACCUGCCCACAACUUUGGGAUAACGCUAGGAAACUGGUGCUAAUACUGGAUAUGUGCUCCUGCUGCAUGGUGGGGGUUGGAAAGCUCCGGCGGUUGUGGAUGGACUCGCGGCCUAUCAGCUUGUUGGUGGGGUAGUGGCCUACCAAGGCGGCGACGGGUAGCCGGCCUGAGAGGGUGACCGGCCACAUUGGGACUGAGAUACGGCCCAGACUCCGACGGGAGGCAGCAGUGGGGAAUAUUGCACAAUGGGCGCAAGCCUGAUGCAGCAACGCCGCGUGCGGGAUGACGGCCUUCGGGUUGUAAACCGCUUUCAGCAGGGACGAAGCUUUUUGUGACGGUACCUGCAGAAGAAGCACCGGCUAACUACGUG